UACCUUAUAUAUUUUGAGAUCUAUUUUAGACACGCAUAACGUAUUUUUCAACACAUAAGACGCACUUUCUUCCCCCAAAGUGAGGGAAAAAUGUCAGUGCAUCUUAUGGAGCGACUACUAAUGAGCGCUUUCCAUUAUGGAAGCGCUUAUUAGUACCGGAGAACCGAGAAGCGCUGAAUGCAGUGCUCCCCGGGCUCUGUACUCACAGCUUUCUGGUCCUCCGCACGCUGUGGGCGUCGGGUCACAGCAGAGCCAAUGGCAGGAAGAAGAGAGCGCUGGAGGUAAGGAGCGUCGGCGUCCGGAGCAGCAGAGAUAAAUGGAUUUUAUUUUAUGUGAUCUGAGGCUGGGGGCUGACCAAAUGAGGCAUGGAGGUCUCAUUGGGGGCUGUGAGCCGAGGUCUCAUUAACAUUGGGCACUGGGGGUCUGAUCUGAGGUCUAAUUAAAAAUAUUUCUUAUUGUCCUCCUCUAAAACCUAGGUGCAUCUCUGAAAAAUACGGGUGUAUACUGUAUAUAUUCAUUACAUACACACACAAUUAUGGCACUAUAUAAAUAAUUUAGGUCAUUAGGUUGUCUUGAGUGUGUGCAGGAAAUACGGUAGGUUUGUUUUGACGUCUCAUACAUGUGAGCAAUGCGUGACUUACCUUGUGUUUCUAUCAGAGAAGAUGAAACUACUGUACAAUGUAUACACAGGAGGGACCUUGGGAGGUGUCACUCUGCAUCAAUACCAUAUUUAGACAACAGAAACAGCUCCACUCUUGAUCACUGGUGGGGUCUGGUAUUGCAGCUAAACAUUAUCCACAGGAAUCGAGAACAGCAGCAAGAUCAGACACCGCCUGUUGACUAGAGUUGUGCUUUCUACCAAAACUGGCAGGUUACAUCUAAUGGGUGAGCCACCUUUUAGACAGAGAUUCUCCAUUUCUUUCGCAAUUGCAAUAAAGGAGU
Bufo bufo (common toad) is the source of this 942-nucleotide long non-coding RNA. RefSeq lists it as uncharacterized. The record is from RefSeq and is a predicted model, not a curated record. NCBI's taxonomy places the organism in Eukaryota, Metazoa, Chordata, Amphibia, Anura, Bufonidae. The transcript has 2 exons.